AACUUGAAGGGCCGUGGUAUACUGACCAUGCGAAGGUAGCAUAAUCAUUUGCCUCUUAAUUAGGGGCUGGAAUGAAAGGUUGGACGAAAACUUUCUGUCUCUUUUGGUUACUUGAAUUUAAUUUUUUGGUGAAAAAGCUAAAAUUCUCUUGGAGGACGAUAAGACCCUAUAGAUCUUAAUAAAAUCUUUUAUUGAUCUCUUAGCUGUUAGUAGAUCAUUAAACCUUUUAUUUUGUUGGGGCGACAUUGAGUGGUGAUUAAUCUCUCAUUAUUUCUUUACACAUACCGUUGGUUUUUGAUCCUUUAGUGAAACAGGAUAAAGUUACCUUAGGGAUAACAGCGUAAUUUUUCUUGAGAGUUCUUAUCGACAGAAAAGUUUGCGACCUCGAUGUUGGUUCAGGAUUCCUUUUGGGCGCAGUAGUUCAGAAAGGUAGUCUGUUCGACUAUUAAAUUCCUACGUGAUCUGUUCAGAACGGGAUAUUAAGGUUCGUUUGUUCAACGAUUAAAGUCCUACGUGAUCUGAUUC
RNAcentral lists this ribosomal RNA (525 nucleotides) under Branchinella madurai. RNAcentral's name for it is "partial 16S ribosomal RNA". It matches the Rfam family "Bacterial large subunit ribosomal RNA", at positions 1920 to 2678 of the family's 2925-position model. Lineage: Eukaryota; Metazoa; Arthropoda; Branchiopoda; Anostraca; Thamnocephalidae. The record is from RNAcentral.